RNAcentral lists this small nuclear RNA (27 nucleotides) under Arabidopsis thaliana (thale cress). RNAcentral's name for it is "snRNA_16351". Lineage: Eukaryota; Viridiplantae; Streptophyta; Magnoliopsida; Brassicales; Brassicaceae. The record is from RNAcentral.
UCGCACAAGAGUGUCUGCGUGCGCAAA